UGGGGAAUAUUGCGCAAUGGGCGAAAGCCUGACGCAGCAACGCCGCGUGCGGGAUGAAGGCCUUCGGGUUGUAAACCGCUUUCAGCAGGGACGAAACUGACGGUACCUGCAGAAGAAGCCCCGGCUAACUACGUGCCAGCAGCCGCGGUAAUACGUAGGGGGCUAGCGUUAUCCGGAUUCAUUGGGCGUAAAGCGCGCGUAGGCGGGCUGUUAAGUCAGGUGUGAAAACCGGGGACUCAACCCGCGGCCUGCACCUGAAACUGGCAGCCUCGAGUCUGGUAGAGGAAAGUGGAAUUCCCAGUGUAGCGGUGAAAUGCGCAGAUAUUGGGAGGAACACCAGUGGCGAAGGCGGCUUUCUGGGCCACGACUGACGCUGAGGCGCGAAAGCUAGGGGAGCAAACA
RNAcentral lists this ribosomal RNA (402 nucleotides) under uncultured Coriobacteriaceae bacterium. Its description in RNAcentral is "bacterial SSU rRNA". It matches the Rfam family "Bacterial small subunit ribosomal RNA", at positions 355 to 774 of the family's 1533-position model. Lineage: Bacteria; Bacillati; Actinomycetota; Coriobacteriia; Coriobacteriales; Coriobacteriaceae. The record is from RNAcentral.